AUCUUGAUUGGACUUGGCAGCCAAUCUUAUUAACUGUUAAAGUUACUUCUUGUAAGAAGAGGAAAAACCCAUUAGGUGAGAUUAAACAUUCCAAACUUUGAGCUUGAGCAUUUCAAUUAAUUGUCCAACAACUUUUUCUGAUGUACCACCAAUUUCCCAAGCCCGUUUGGCCUCUUCGCCCACCUUCUGAGCCAUGGACCUCAACUUGUGAUCUUGCAUUAGCUCUUCAAUCUUCUCCUCAAUCUCUUCCGACUUCACCAAUCUCUCGCCCAGCCAACCCCAAUGUUUUGGCCACAACCCCAACCCUGCCUUCUCCACCACCUCUGCGUUAAACCUUUGGUCCCCGUUAAGUGUCCAUGCAAGCAUUGGUACUCCUCUCUGAG
RNAcentral lists this unclassified non-coding RNA (383 nucleotides) under Hevea brasiliensis (rubber tree). The record is from RNAcentral. Lineage: Eukaryota; Viridiplantae; Streptophyta; Magnoliopsida; Malpighiales; Euphorbiaceae.